RNAcentral lists this ribosomal RNA (253 nucleotides) under uncultured bacterium. Its description in RNAcentral is "partial 16S ribosomal RNA". It matches the Rfam family "Bacterial small subunit ribosomal RNA", at positions 524 to 776 of the family's 1533-position model. The record is from RNAcentral.
UACGAAGGGGGCUAGCGUUGCUCGGAAUCACUGGGCGUAAAGCGUGCGUAGACGGUCAUGUAAGUCGGAUGUGAAAGCCCCGGGCUCAACCUGGGAAUUGCAUUCGAGACUGCAUGGCUUGGGUGCGGAAGAGGGAAGCGGAAUUUCCGGUGUAGCGGUGAAAUGCGUAGAUAUCGGAAGGAACACCAGUGGCGAAAGCGGCUUCCUGGUCCGACACCGACGUUCAGGCACGAAAGCGUGGGGAGCAAACAGG